GGAGAAGCACAAUGAUGAACAAUACUGCUGGAGCCACCAAGAGGCACAAGUGUGAGUGCGAUUGCCUGUGUGUGUAUGUGUGUGUGUCCUCGUCUGUGCAUGCACACGCGCGUCUGGGAGGAUGGAUGUGUGUGACUGGUGAUAGGGACCUAGUCAUGUGCCAUCUUCUGGGCUGUGACAGCCAAACUGAUAAGAUCUGAUUGCUUC
Small nucleolar RNA from Apodemus sylvaticus (European woodmouse), 207 nucleotides. RefSeq annotates it as small nucleolar RNA ZL1. The transcript has a single exon. The record is from RefSeq and is a predicted model, not a curated record. Lineage: Eukaryota; Metazoa; Chordata; Mammalia; Rodentia; Muridae.